RNAcentral lists this long non-coding RNA (653 nucleotides) under Leguminivora glycinivorella. RNAcentral describes it as "uncharacterized LOC125227224". Lineage: Eukaryota; Metazoa; Arthropoda; Insecta; Lepidoptera; Tortricidae. The record is from RNAcentral.
GGCUAUGCCUCAAUUGAUAAAGUGAACUAAUUGCCUACUUCAAAAGCAGUUUUGCAUGAAAGUCAACAUCUAAUUGGAAUUUACAAUGCCCGAUAUUUCUACACAUCUGCCACAAAUUUUAUGGAAAACAAUAUUUAUAGAAACUGAACAUACCUUGGUUAAACGUAUAUGAAAUGGGUAACCAUCCUCGAAGAACAUCAACCAGCCGUCGGCAAUGUGCAGGUGGACUGAGGAAUUUUCCGGUGUGUCCUUUAUGGACUAUACUCCGUCUUAGCACAAUUCCCAAGUUUUACCCGAGAGGCCAUGCCUCAAGUCGGACUCUCCUCCAUAUAUCUACUGACUUCAUAUAAACGAAAGUGUACUAAAGGCUCACUGAUCUACACUACCAGCUCAUGCUCAACGUUACUGAACAACAAAGUAAUCCGACAAUCAGACUGGACCCGGUCAUGUUAGAUACCAGUGGAAGGAGAUGAACAUACAAUUGACUCUGCAUCGAUGCAUGACUUCGCUCGGAACGCGGCAAGAAUUAACAAUGGAAGAAAAUACUACAGACUUGUUUAUUAACGAUAAAGUUAUUUUAGUUUUUAUGAAAUAGCGAUUGAAUAAAAAUAUUAGGUAUAUGAGUUUUAUUUAGAGAUGAAAUAAGUCAAGAA